This 85-nucleotide transfer RNA is filed under the name Actinomycetota bacterium. RNAcentral describes it as "tRNA-Leu". It matches the Rfam family "tRNA". Rfam says of the family: Transfer RNA (tRNA) molecules are approximately 80 nucleotides in length. The record is from RNAcentral. Lineage: Bacteria; Bacillati; Actinomycetota.
GCCCCUGUGAUGGAACUGGCAUACAUGAUGGUCUCAAACACCAUUGCCGAAAGGCGUGUGGGUUCGAAUCCCACCGGGGGCACCA